Hippocampus zosterae (dwarf seahorse) is the source of this 999-nucleotide long non-coding RNA. RefSeq lists it as uncharacterized. Lineage: Eukaryota; Metazoa; Chordata; Actinopteri; Syngnathiformes; Syngnathidae. The record is from RefSeq and is a predicted model, not a curated record. The transcript has 4 exons.
UUGGCUCAGUACUUUUUGAGCCAAAAUAAGUGCUGCCAUAAUAUUGUGCUUACUUGUCUGGCUGACUUCUUCUCACUUUCCAUUGUAGAUGUUUACUGGUGGUGAUAAUGUCACAAAGAAGAACCAGACUGAGCCCUGAAUCUGAGGCUGCUCCUUUUAUCUGGAGUCAACAAGCCUUGUUUGAAAGCCCAGUGGAUCAAUGAUUAUAAAGACACCAAGUGACGGGAUCUUGACUGAACCUUCUGGAGACCAAGAAGGGAGUGAGAGAGCCACUUCAUCCUUACAACAGGUUACUACUUCUUAUCAUGAUAUACUAGGUUUGAGUUUUCAGCUUUCUUUGACAAACACAGGAGAAGUUAUAAAUCAGAAACAUGGACUCUCCAUGAUUUCAGUCGUCAUGUCCUCAUAUUUCUUUAGACCUGAAAAACCGGAGUGUGUUUCAGGUGACAUGAUUUUUGUCUGGACCUAAUUCUGGAGAGCCUGUUUUCGAAUGUCCCCAUAUUGCUGUUACACAGAGCUGAACAGUGUUAACUUUCUAUAGUGUCUUAUAUUAAUCCCAAACCCUCCUGUGAGCGAUGUUCAAUGAAAAACAAUGUUUAUUCAUUUAUUAACUAAUCAGGAUGAAUAAAUUUGAAUAUUUCUGACACUGCACUGUUGCUAUGUUGCAGACAUUAAGUGUUCCGAUCCUGAUGAAACCUUCUGAAGAUCAAGAAAGGAGUGGAAGAUCCACUUCUUCCUUAAACAGACACCAACUGACCUGACUGAACCCUCUGGAGACCAUGAAUGGAGUGAGAGAUCCACUUCAUUCUUACAACAGACACCAACUGACCUGACUGAACCGUCUGGAGACCAUGAAUGGAGUGAGAGAUCCACUUCAUUCUUACAACAGGUUACUACUUCUUAUCAUGAUAUACUAGGUUUGAGUUUUCAGCUUUCUUUGACAAACACAGGAGAAGUUAUAAGUCAGAAACAUGGACUCUCCAUGAUUUCAGUCGUCAU